Molecule: ribosomal RNA, 256 nt
Filed under: uncultured bacterium
Lineage: Bacteria
Description: partial 16S ribosomal RNA
Rfam family: Bacterial small subunit ribosomal RNA
Source: RNAcentral
UACGAAGGGGGCUAGCGUUGCUCGGAAUCACUGGGCGUAAAGGGCGCGUAGGCGGCGUUUUUAAGUCGGGGGUGAAAGCCUGUGGCUCAACCACAGAAUGGCCUUCGAUACUGGGACGCUUGAGUAUGGUAGAGGUUGGUGGAACUGCGAGUGUAGAGGUGAAAUUCGUAGAUAUUCGCAAGAACACCAGUGGCGAAGGCGGCUCACUGGCCCGGUACUGACGCUGGAGGUGCGAAAGCGUGGGGAGCAAACAGGG